RNAcentral lists this ribosomal RNA (327 nucleotides) under uncultured bacterium. RNAcentral's name for it is "bacterial SSU rRNA". It matches the Rfam family "Bacterial small subunit ribosomal RNA", at positions 28 to 334 of the family's 1533-position model. The record is from RNAcentral.
GAUGAACGCCGGCGGUGUGCCUAAUACAUGCAAGUCGAACGAGAAGAGAUGAGAAGCUUGCUUCUUAUUGAUUCGAGUGGCAAACGGGUGAGUAACGCGUAAGCAACCUGCCCUUCAGAUGGGGACAACAGCUGGAAACGGCUGCUAAUACCGAAUACGUUCUUUUGUCGCAUGGCAGAGGGAAGAAAGGGAGGCUCUUCGGAGCUUUCGCUGAAGGAGGGGCUUGCGUCUGAUUAGCUAGUUGGAGGGGUAACGGCCCACCAAGGCGACGAUCAGUAGCCGGUCUGAGAGGAUGAACGGCCACAUUGGGACUGAGACACGGCCCAG